CCUACGGGAGGCAGCAGUGGGGAAUAUUGCACAAUGGGCGGAAGCCUGAUGCAGCGACGCCGCGUGAGGGAUGAAGGCCUUCGGGUUGUAAACCUCUUUCAGCAGGGACGAAGCGUGAGUGACGGUACCUGCAGAAGAAGCACCGGCUAACUACGUGCCAGCAGCCGCGGUAAUACGUAGGGUGCGAGCGUUGUCCGGAAUUACUGGGCGUAAAGAGUUCGUAGGCGGUUUGUCGCGUCGUUUGUGAAAACCCCGGGGCUCAACUUCGGGCUUGCAGGCGAUACGGGCAGACUUGAGUGUUUCAGGGGAGACUGGAAUUCCUGGUGUAGCGGUGAAAUGCGCAGAUAUCAGGAGGAACACCGGUGGCGAAGGCGGGUCUCUGGGAACAACUGACGCUGAGGAACGAAAGCGUGGGUAGCAAACAGGAUUAGAUACCCUGGUAGUCCACGCCGUAAACGGUGGGCGCUAGGUGUGGGUUCCUUCCACGGGAUCUGUGCCGUAGCUAACGCAUUAAGCGCCCCGCCUGGGGAGGUACGGCCGCGAGCGUAAACGUAAAGUAAGUAGACGGCGNGNGAGUGCCGAGGCGACGACGAGGGAGGAGG
RNAcentral lists this ribosomal RNA (602 nucleotides) under uncultured bacterium. RNAcentral describes it as "bacterial SSU rRNA". The stretch from base 1 to 524 matches the Rfam family "Bacterial small subunit ribosomal RNA", at positions 338 to 873 of the family's 1533-position model. The record is from RNAcentral.